CCUACGGGUGGCAGCAGUAGGGAAUCUUCGGCAAUGGACGAAAGUCUGACCGAGCAACGCCGCGUGAGUGAAGAAGGUUUUCGGAUCGUAAAACUCUGUUGGUAGAGAAGAACGUUGGUGAGAGUGGAAAGCUCAUCACGUGACGGUAACUACCCAGCAAGGGACGGCUACCUACGUGCCAGCAGCCGCGGUAAUACGUAGGUCCCGAGCGUUGUCCGGAUUUAUUGGGCGUAAUGCGGUCGCAGGUGGUUUAUUAAGUCUGGUGGAAAAGGCAGGGGUUCAACCAUUGUAUGCAUUGGAAACUGGGAGACUGGAGUGCAGGAGAGGAGAGUGGAAUUCCAUGUGUAGCGGUGAAAUGCGUAGAUAUAGGGAGGAACACCGGUGGCGAAAGCGGCUCGCUGGACUGUAACUGACACUGAGGCUCGAAAGCGUGGGGAGCAAACAGGAUUAGAUACCCCAGUAGUC
RNAcentral lists this ribosomal RNA (465 nucleotides) under uncultured bacterium. Its description in RNAcentral is "partial 16S ribosomal RNA". It matches the Rfam family "Bacterial small subunit ribosomal RNA", at positions 338 to 795 of the family's 1533-position model. The record is from RNAcentral.